This 336-nucleotide unclassified non-coding RNA is filed under the name soil metagenome. RNAcentral describes it as "partial contains 5.8S ribosomal RNA, internal transcribed spacer 2, and large subunit ribosomal RNA". The stretch from base 1 to 120 matches the Rfam family "5.8S ribosomal RNA", at positions 35 to 154 of the family's 154-position model. The record is from RNAcentral.
GAUGAAGAACGUAGCGAAAUGCGAUAAGUAGUGUGAAUUGCAGAAUUCAGUGAAUCAUCGAAUCUUUGAACGCACAUUGCGCCCCUUGGUAUUCCAUGGGGCAUGCCUGUUCGAGCGUCAUUUGUACCUUCAAGCUUUGCUUGGUGUUGGGUGUUUGUCUCGCCUUUGCGUGUAGACUCGCCUUAAAAUAAUUGGCAGCCGGCGUAUUGAUUUCGGAGCGCAGUACAUCUCGCGCUUUGCACUCAUAACGACAGCGUCCAAAAGUACAUUUUACACUCUUGACCUCGGAUCAGGUAGGGAUACCCGCUGAUCUUAAGCAUAUCAAUAAGCGGAGGA